Molecule: ribosomal RNA, 498 nt
Filed under: uncultured bacterium
Lineage: Bacteria
Description: partial 16S ribosomal RNA
Rfam family: Bacterial small subunit ribosomal RNA
Source: RNAcentral
ACUCAAAGGAAUAGACGGGGGCCCGCACAAGCGGUGGAACAUGUGGUUCAAUUCGACGCAACGCGAAGAACCUUACCUGGGCUUGAACCGCUACUGACCAGCGGUGGAAACAUCGCCUUCCCGCAAGGGACAGUAGUAGAGGUGCUGCAUGGCUGUCGUCAGCUCGUGCCGUGAGGUGUUGGGUUAAGUCCCGCAACGAGCGCAACCCUUAGUCUUAGUUGCCACCCGCAAGGGGGAACUCUAAGACGACUGCUCCGGAUAACGGAGAGGAAGGUGGGGAUGACGUCAAGUCAGCAUGGCCUUUAUGUCCAGGGCUACACACGUGUUACAAUGCACGGUACAAACCGUCGCGAACCCGCGAGGGGGAGCUAAUCGGAGAAAACCGUGCUCAGUUCGGAUUGCAGUCUGCAACUCGACUGCAUGAAGCCGGAAUCGCUAGUAAUGGCGUAUCAGAACGACGCCGUGAAUACGUUCCCGGGCCUUGUACACACCGCCCGU